Molecule: ribosomal RNA, 517 nt
Filed under: uncultured bacterium
Lineage: Bacteria
Description: bacterial SSU rRNA
Rfam family: Bacterial small subunit ribosomal RNA
Source: RNAcentral
UAGAGUUUGAUCCUGGCUCAGAACGAACGCUGGCGGCGUGCUUAACACAUGCAAGUCCAACGUGAAAGGGGAGCAAUCCCCCGGUAAGGUGGCGAACGGGUGAGUAAUACAUGGGAAUCUGCCCUGGAGAUGGGGAUAUCCUCCCGAAAGGGGGGCUAAUACCGAAUAUCGUCCGGAUUUCGAGAGGGAUUCGGGGAAAGGGAGGCCUCUGGCAACAUGCUUCCGCUCCAGGAGGAGCCCAUGGCCCAUCAGCUAGUUGGUAGGGUAACGGCCUACCAAGGCGAAGACGGGUAGCUGGUCUGAGAGGACGAUCAGCCACACUGGCACUGAGACACGGGCCAGACUCCUACGGGAGGCAGCAGUGAGGAAUUUUGCGCAAUGGGGGCAACCCUGACGCAGCAACGCCGCGUGUGGGAAGAAGGCUUUCGGGUUGUAAACCGCUUUUGUGAGGGAAGAAGUCCCGCCGGCAAAUAACCGGCGGGGAUGACGGUACCUUGCGAAUAAGCCACGGCUAACU